GAGUUUGAUCCUGGCUCAGAGCGAACGCUGGCGGCGUGCUUAACACAUGCAAGUCGAACGAGGUUUGUAGCAAUACAAAUACUCGUGGCGAACGGGUGCGUAACACGUGGAUAACCUUCCUUCAGGUGGGGAAUAACCCAGUGAAAAUUGGGCUAAUACCGCAUAACAUCGCGAUGGCACAUGCUGUUGCGUUCAAAGCCGCAAGGCGCCAGAAGAGGGAUCCGCGGCCGAUUAGCUUGUUGGCGAGGUAAUGGCUCACCAAGGCUUUGAUCGGUAUCCGGACUGAGAGGUUGGCCGGACACACUGGAACUGAGACACGGUCCAGACUCCUACGGGAGGCAGCAGUGGGGAAUCUUGCACAAUGGACGAAAGUCUGAUGCAGCAACGCCGCGUGGGGGAUGAAGCUUCUCGGAGUGUAAACCCCUUUCGACCUGGACGAAUGCCCGCAAGGGUUUGACGGUACAGGUAUAAGAAGCCCCGGCUAACUACGCGCCAGCAGCCGCGGUAAAACGUAGGGGGCCAGCGUUGCUCGGAAUUACUGGGCGUAAAGGGUCCGUAGGCGGUGCGGCAAGUCGGAAGUGAAAUCUCUGGGCUUAACCCAGAGGCUGCUCCCGAAACUGCCGUGCUAGAGUGCGAGAGAGGCGAGUGGAAUUGCGGGUGUAGCGGUGAAAUGCGUAGAUAUCCGCAGGAACAUCCGAGGCGAAAGCGGCUCGCUGGAUCGCAACUGACGCUGAGGGACGAAAGCUAGGGGAGCA
This 755-nucleotide ribosomal RNA is filed under the name uncultured bacterium. Its description in RNAcentral is "bacterial SSU rRNA". It matches the Rfam family "Bacterial small subunit ribosomal RNA", at positions 9 to 770 of the family's 1533-position model. The record is from RNAcentral.